Polyplosphaeria fusca is the source of this 98-nucleotide non-coding RNA. The record is from the annotation of a GenBank genome assembly. NCBI's taxonomy places the organism in Eukaryota, Fungi, Ascomycota, Dothideomycetes, Pleosporales, Tetraplosphaeriaceae.
GGGGCCAUGGCGCAAUGGUAGCGCGUCAGAUUCCAGUUUUCCGUAAAGGAUGCAACGGAGUUUCCUGAAGGUUGGGCGUUCAAAUCGCCCUGGCCUCA